GACGAACGCUGGCGGCGUGCUUAACACAUGCAAGUCGUACGGUAAGGCCCUUUCGGGGGUACACGAGUGGCGAACGGGUGAGUAACACGUGAGUAACCUGCCCACAACUUUGGGAUAACGCUAGGAAACUGGUGCUAAUACUGGAUAUGUGCUCCUGCUGCAUGGUGGGGGUUGGAAAGCUCCGGCGGUUGUGGAUGGACUCGCGGCCUAUCAGCUUGUUGGUGGGGUAGUGGCCUACCAAGGCGGCGACGGGUAGCCGGCCUGAGAGGGUGACCGGCCACAUUGGGACGGAGAUACGGCCCAGACUCCUACGGGAGGCAGCAGUGGGGAAUAUUGCACAAUGGGCGCAAGCCUGAUGCAGCAACGCCGCGUGCGGGAUGACGGCCUUCGGGUUGUAAACCGCUUUCAGCAGGGACGAAGCUUUUUGUGACGGUACCUGCAGAAGAAGCACCGGCUAACUACGUG
RNAcentral lists this ribosomal RNA (465 nucleotides) under uncultured bacterium. RNAcentral's name for it is "partial 16S ribosomal RNA". It matches the Rfam family "Bacterial small subunit ribosomal RNA", at positions 28 to 507 of the family's 1533-position model. The record is from RNAcentral.